Molecule: ribosomal RNA, 484 nt
Filed under: uncultured bacterium
Lineage: Bacteria
Description: partial 16S ribosomal RNA
Rfam family: Bacterial small subunit ribosomal RNA
Source: RNAcentral
GACGAACGCUGGCGGCGUGCUUAACACAUGCAAGUCGAACGAUGAAGCUAGAGCUUGCUCUGGUGGAUUAGUGGCGAACGGGUGAGUAACACGUGAGUAACCUGCCCCGAACUCUGGGAUAACUGCUGGAAACGGUAGCUAAUACUGGAUACGACCAACGAAGGCAUCUUCUGUUGGUGGAAAGAAUUUCGGUUCGGGAUGGACUCGCGGCCUAUCAGCUUGUUGGUGAGGUAACGGCUCACCAAGGCGACGAAGGGUAGCCGGGCUGAGAGGGUGAUCGGCCACACUGGGACUGAGACACGGCCCAGACUCCUACGGGAGGCAGCAGUGGGGAAUAUUGAACAAUGGGCGCAAGCCUGAUGCAGCAACGCCGCGUGAGGGACGACGGCCUUCGGGUUGUAAACCUCUUUUAGUAGGGAAGAAGCGAAAGUGACGGUACCUGCAGAAAAAGCACCGGCUAACUACGUGCCAGCAGCCGCCGUAA